GGAUCGAACCCACAACGUCAUGGUUCCUAGUCGGAUUCAUUUCCACUGCACCACGACAGGAACUCCCUGUUUUUCUAUCUUUAAUGGGGAUAAUAGUACUCACCUCCUGGAGUUGUUGGGAGGAUUAAGAGACAAAGCAUGCUAAGCAUUUAGCACUGUGCUUGGAACCUAUUAAGGAUGCAGUAAAUGGUAACAGCUCUAAUCUUUUAAAGGGGGUUGGACUUGAUAAUGUAAAAGCUUUUCAUAAUGAGCUAAACAUUUAUUUAAUGCUUAACCGCUGCCUUCUGACAACACACAGUUCUGAGUGCUUUACAUGUAUUAUCUCAUUUAAUACUAAAAACAAAUCUCUAUUUCCUUAUUUUGCAGGUAAGGAAUAGAAGCAUAGAAGAGUCUAAAGAUUAAUUGAGGCAGGAUUCACACCUAGGCUGGCUGACUCCUCUGUACUAAUAGUGGUUAUUUGGUAGCAGUAGUCCAAAGUCCCUUUUCAAGCCCUUUCCUUAUUUGACAAACUCUUAUUCAUCCUUCAAAACCCAGCUCAAAUGUCCCUCCUCUGGAAAGCCUUUCCUGGUAUCCCUCUUCUGGACCUCUAGGGACUCUAGCAUACCUUCCUGGCACAGAGGGACAACUUUCCCUCCCACAAAGGGUUGGAGCAGGAGUUUUGUUCUUAGUCCUAUCCUUUCCUAUGCACCAAAUGUUCUGCUUGGGCAUUCAUUCUAGUCUCCUGUGGAGCUCUGCGGGGUCCCAAGGCACCUGACUUUAGUUUCCCCAGAGCUGCUGAGUUAUAUCACUUCACCAGUGCUGAUGCCUCACAUCUUCCUGGUAUCUUGCCAAACCCCAUCCUUGCCUGGUGCCCAUUAAGGGAAAGGAAUUUUUGCCUACUGAGCCUGCAGUGGGCCAAGCUUUGGGCCGAGUGCUUCACACACUUCAGCUCAUUUGAUCCUACACACAACCCUGUGAGAAAGUCUAUCUUUAGAAACCAAUGUCAACCAGUGAGGCAACUGAGAUUGUAAGGGAGGAGUGAACACGUCCAGAUGGUGAGCAAGGCUGGUGGGCCCAGGCACAGCCAGAACUAGGGAUCCAAAUCCUGGCAAGAGUGAUUGACACCCUCUCUCUCCCGCCUCUCUCUCUCUCUAGACUAAUUCUGCCAUGAGGAAGGGCGUUUGGCCAAUGACAACUCCUAAGCCUCUCUCAUUUUCACAGCCAUUUUUUCAGUUCUGACUUAGAGCAGAGCAGAACAGAACAGGGAAGGCUUCUGAUUGGCCCAGCGCUAAUCAGAUGUCUGCCUGUGGGCCAAUCACCUAUGGCCAAGGAACAGGAUCAGGAAGCCCUGACUGCUCUGGCUGAACCAGCAUUUGGAGGAGGAGGGAAUCCCAUAGGGGAAACCAUCCGAAAGAGCUAAACACCAUUUGAUAGAUAAGGAGAUAGAGGCUCAGGAAAGCAUGGCAUUAGUCAGAUCACUUAGCUGAUAAGUGGUGGAACUGGAUACAGCCCAUAUUACCUACCCCUGAAUUUGUAGAUUAAGCCAGAGAGAGGCCCUUUGCAGCUCAGAGUACCCCCCGGCCACCCUCAGCUUCUCCCUGAUAACUCAUUCCUAAGCCUUGAGAGAUAACCUUCCUAGAAUUCCACCCAUUUCGUGAACAUUCUGUGGCUCUGACACUAACAAUCGUGGCAGUCUUCUCAAAAUAAAGCGAGGCUGAGUCUGAGGAGGCUUUCCAGCAGGUUCACCAUAGUACCCCUUCUUCAUGGCAGUCUUCAGAAUAGGGCUGUCCUCACCCUCUCUGCUCUCAACAGUGCCCCCAGUACUAUAGGGCACAGAAGAGACGCCAAAACCAUCUGUUGGGAUGGGUGAAUGAAUGGAUGAGCCCAGAGACACCAUCAACCUUGGCAGCAGGGCCCCCUGAUGGCUGAAUCCUCACUGCACCUGCCCCAGCCCCGAGGAGGAGUGAAGAGCAGUGACCUGGGUGAAUCCCGGGACUGAGCAGCUACCCACACUGUGCGUUUCCUAGACAUUCCCUGGGAGAGUCCUUGCAACUGCUCUGCGAGGCCUGGAGACCGACCCGAGCAGACUAAUAGGAAGGGGCGGAAGUAGGAGUGGAUCUCAAGUGUGUUGGACUCCAGAGACCAAUUUAUUGCUGCAGCCUCCACUCCACCCUCUCACCCAGACGUCGUGCCCAGCCUGGCCAGUAGAAGGCUUUGAAGGUCCCCUCACCUGUGGCUCUGUCCUCUACUCAAUCUCCCCUCAGCUUUCCUCAGGACACAUAACCUCACCCGGAAAGCCUCUGAGUCAGAGCCAGACAGAACCAAGCUCAGAGCCAGCCUCACCAGACUCCAUGAAGUUGGCUUUCCACUUGGAACCUCAGUUUCCCAAUCUGUGAAAUGGGAACAGUGUGAUCUGCAUUGGCCAAGAUUGAACAAUUCCCUAAGAAGGAGGAGAUGAGGGAAGCAAGCUGGGCCCACUGAGAGUUAGUCUGAAGAAAUUGGUACCUAAUGAAUCAGAGCAGAGAUGUGCCACAUCAGCUUAAAGGGCCAGGCUGACUCUGGGUCCUGCAGAAGCUGACAGUCACUUGGUGAAGAUAUUGACCCAUCUAAAGUAGUAAAGCAUCCUCAGACAAAGGCGAGUCCCUGCAACCCUGAGAUGCUGAGUUUGUCCAAAGAGAGGCCAUCUGGUCAUCAGACCAGUGGCCAAGCCAAGCCUGUUUUAAGAUGACAAGAUCACCCGCCUGUAUAAAGAAAACAUGUAUGCCUUACCCCACCGUAAAGCCUCCUGGUGUGGAGCUGAAGCCUCCUGCCCCAGCCACGUGAAUGAACUUGGAGGCUGAUUCUCAACAGACCCUUCAGAUGACUGUCUCCCUGGCUGACAGCUUGACUGCAACCUCGCAGAGGUUGACGCCUGAGCCAGGAUCUUUCAGUUGCACGGCUCUCAGACUCCUCGAUCCUAAGAAAUUGUAAGAGAUAACGUUGGUUGUUUUGAGCUGCUCGAUUUGGGGGUAAUUUGUUACAGAACAAUUGAUAAUACACAAGGUAAAUGGGAAAACACAAAAGAAGAUAGAGAAAUAAAAUCUUAAAAACUGGUGA
Molecule: non-coding RNA, 3075 nt
Organism: Sus scrofa (pig)
Lineage: Eukaryota; Metazoa; Chordata; Mammalia; Artiodactyla; Suidae
Source: RefSeq, a predicted model, not a curated record